GGCGAACGCUGGCGGCGUGCCUAAUACAUGCAAGUCGAGCGGACCGAAGGGAGCUUGCUCCUUUAGGUUAGCGGCGGACGGGUGAGUAACACGUGGGAAACCUGCCCUGCAGACUGGGAUAACUUCGGGAAACCGGAGCUAAUACCGGAUAACACCGAAAACCGCAUGGUUUUCGGUUGAAAGGCGGCUUUUAGCUGUCACUGCAGGAUGGGCCCGCGGCGCAUUAGCUAGUUGGUGAGGUAACGGCUCACCAAGGCGACGAUGCGUAGCCGACCUGAGAGGGUGACCGGCCACACUGGGACUGAGACACGGCCCAGACUCCUACGGGAGGCAGCAGUAGGGAAUCUUCCGCAAUGGACGAAAGUCUGACGGAGCAACGCCGCGUGAGCGAAGAAGGUCUUCGGAUCGUAAAGCUCUGUUGUCAGGGAAGAACAAGUACCGUUCGAACAGGGCGGUACCUUGACGGUACCUGACGAGGAAGCCACGGCUAACUACGUGCCAGCAGCCGCCGUAA
This 514-nucleotide ribosomal RNA is filed under the name uncultured bacterium. RNAcentral's name for it is "partial 16S ribosomal RNA". It matches the Rfam family "Bacterial small subunit ribosomal RNA", at positions 28 to 523 of the family's 1533-position model. The record is from RNAcentral.